AGCCUGCCCAGUGACAAAGUUCAACGGCCGCGGUACCCUAACCGUGCGAAGGUAGCAUAAUCACUUGUUCUUUAAAUGAGGACUCGUAUCAACGGCACUACGAGGGCUAUACUGUCUCCUUUUUCUAAUCAGUGAAACUGAUCUCCCCGUGAAGAAGCGGGGAUUAAAAUAUAAGACGAGAAGACCCCAUGGAGCUUUAAACUCACCAUGCACCUCUGUGCUCUUAUACCCUUAGACACACCAGACCUGCAUGCUAGUUUUAGGUUGGGGUGACCACGGAGUAUAACUUAACCUCCAUAGCAAAUGGGCUAAUACCCUUAUCCAAGAGACACAACUCUAAGAAUUAUUAAACUAAUGCUUACGACCCGAUAUUCGAUCAAUGAACCAAGUUACCCUGGGGAUAACAGCGCAAUCUACUUCAAGAGCCCCUAUCGACAAGUAGGUUUACGACCUCGAUGUUGGAUCAGGGUAUCCUGGUGGUGCAGCCGCUACCAACGGUUCGUUUGUUCAACGAUUAAAACCCUACU
Molecule: ribosomal RNA, 527 nt
Filed under: Rana pirica
Lineage: Eukaryota; Metazoa; Chordata; Amphibia; Anura; Ranidae
Description: partial 16S ribosomal RNA
Rfam family: Bacterial large subunit ribosomal RNA
Source: RNAcentral